RNAcentral lists this ribosomal RNA (253 nucleotides) under uncultured bacterium. Its description in RNAcentral is "partial 16S ribosomal RNA". It matches the Rfam family "Bacterial small subunit ribosomal RNA", at positions 524 to 776 of the family's 1533-position model. The record is from RNAcentral.
GACGUAGGAUGCGAGCGUUGUCCGGAUUUAUUGGGCGUAAAGAGUUCGUAGGUGGUUUGUUAAGUUUGGUGUCAAAGAUUGGGGCUCAACCCUGAAACUGCACUGAAUACUGGCAGACUCGAGUGUGGUAGAGGCUAGUGGAAUUCCCAGUGUAGCGGUGAAAUGCGUAGAUAUUGGGAAGAACACCGGUGGCGUAGGCGACUAGCUGGGCCAUAACUGACACUGAGGAACGAAAGCCAGGGGAGCGAAUGGG